GGGGGCAACCCUGGCGGCGAGCGGCGAACGGGUGAGUAAUACAUCGGAACGUACCCAGGAGUGGGGGAUAACACAUCGAAAGAUGUGCUAAUACCGCAUACGCCCUGAGGGGGAAAGCGGGGGACCGCAAGGCCUCGCGCUGUUGGAGCGGCCGAUGUCGGAUUAGCUAGUUGGUGGGGUAAGGGCCUACCAAGGCGACGAUCCGUAGCUGGUCUGAGAGGAUGAUCAGCCACACUGGGACUGAGACACGGCCCAGACUCCUACGGGAGGCAGCAGUGGGGAAUUUUGGACAAUGGGGGCAACCCUGAUCCAGCCAUUCCGCGUGAGUGAAGAAGGCCUUCGGGUUGUAAAGCUCUUUCGGCAGGAACGAAACGGCGGGCUCUAACAUAGCCUGUCAAUGACGGUACCUGAAGAAGAAGCACCGGCUAACUACGUGCCAGCAGCCGCGGUAAUACGUAGGGUGCGAGCGUUAAUCGGAAUUACUGGGCGUAAAGCGUGCGCAGGCGGUUUUGUAAGACAGCUGUGAAAUCCCCGGGCUUAACCUGGGAACUGCGGUUGUGACUGCAAGACUAGAGUGCGGCAGAGGGGGGUGGAAUUCCACGUGUAGCAGUGAAAUGCGUAGAGAUGUGGAGGAACACCGAUGGCGAAGGCAGCCCCCUGGGUUGACACUGACGCUCAUGCACGAAAGCGUGGGUAGCAAACAGGAUUAGAUACCCUGGUAGUCCACGCCCUAAACGAUGCUAACUAGGUGUUGGGGAAGGAGACUUCCUUAGUACCGUAGCUAACGCGUGAAGUUGGCCGCCUGGGGAGUACGGUCGCAAGAUUAAAACUCAAAGGAAUUGACGGGGACCCGCACAAGCGGUGGAUGAUGUGGAUUAAUUCGAUGC
This 887-nucleotide ribosomal RNA is filed under the name uncultured bacterium. Its description in RNAcentral is "bacterial SSU rRNA". It matches the Rfam family "Bacterial small subunit ribosomal RNA", at positions 75 to 957 of the family's 1533-position model. The record is from RNAcentral.